RNAcentral lists this ribosomal RNA (253 nucleotides) under uncultured bacterium. RNAcentral describes it as "partial 16S ribosomal RNA". It matches the Rfam family "Bacterial small subunit ribosomal RNA", at positions 524 to 776 of the family's 1533-position model. The record is from RNAcentral.
UACGUAGGGUGCGAGCGUUAAUCGGAAUUACUGGGCGUAAAGCGUGCGCAGGCGGUUUGUUAAGCCAGAUGUGAAAGCCCCGGGCUCAACCUGGGAACUGCGUUUGGUACUGGCAAGCUAGAGUACGGCAGAGGGGGGUGGAAUUCCACGUGUAGCAGUGAAAUGCGUAGAGAUGUGGAGGAACACCGAUGGCGAAGGCAGCCCCCUGGGCCGAUACUGACGCUCAGGCACGAAAGCGUGGGGAGCAAACAGG